UACGUAGGGUGCGAGCGUUGUCCGGAAUUAUUGGGCGUAAAGAGCUCGUAGGCGGUCUGUCGCGUCGGUCGUGAAAACUUGGGGCUUAACCCUGAGCUUGCGGUCGAUACGGGCAUGACUGGAGUUCGGUAGGGGAGAUCGGAAUUCCUGGUGUAGCGGUGAAAUGCGCAGAUAUCAGGAGGAACACCGGUGGCGAAGGCGGAUCUCUGGGCCAUUACUGACGCUGAGGAGCGAAAGCGUGGGGAGCGAACAGG
RNAcentral lists this ribosomal RNA (254 nucleotides) under uncultured bacterium. Its description in RNAcentral is "partial 16S ribosomal RNA". It matches the Rfam family "Bacterial small subunit ribosomal RNA", at positions 524 to 776 of the family's 1533-position model. The record is from RNAcentral.